GGGGAUUUAGCUCCGCGGCAUAAGCACCUGCCUUGCAAGCAGGCGGUCAUGAGUUCAAUUCCCAGUAAUGAUUA
Cavia porcellus (domestic guinea pig) is the source of this 74-nucleotide non-coding RNA. NCBI's taxonomy places the organism in Eukaryota, Metazoa, Chordata, Mammalia, Rodentia, Caviidae. The record is from Rfam.